UACAGAGGGUGCAAACGUUGUUCGGAAUUACUGGGCGUAAAGCGCGUGUAGGCGGCUUGGCAAGUCGGGUGUGAAAGCCUUGGGCUCAACCCAGGAAGUGCACUCGAAACUGCUUCGCUCGAGUAUCGGAGAGGAAAGCGGAAUUCUCGGUGUAGAGGUGAAAUUCGUAGAUAUCGAGAGGAACACCGGUGGCGAAGGCGGCUUUCUGGACCAGUACCGACGUUCAGGCACGAAAGCGUGGGGAGCAAACAGG
RNAcentral lists this ribosomal RNA (253 nucleotides) under uncultured bacterium. RNAcentral's name for it is "partial 16S ribosomal RNA". It matches the Rfam family "Bacterial small subunit ribosomal RNA", at positions 524 to 776 of the family's 1533-position model. The record is from RNAcentral.